GUGUUGGCGUGCCGAAACAGGAAACUCCAGUUUGAGGUUUGAGCCUCAGUGAGAAGAUGAGAUCUUGAGUUUCCUGGAAAAGCCGCUCCCUUUUGAGUGUCGGGCCCAGAGAGUCUCAGACACCAGUCGCCACCUUACAGGCCAAGAUGAGCUCUCCUGCCUAGGCUGUCCCUGUCCCGUGGUCCCCGUCCCACUGCCCUGCCGGAGAGGCCCAGGAAUGGCCCUAUUUCCCAUCCUGUGGGGCUGGGUUCUCAUGGGUGCAGUGAGUACAGAUGCCGACACAAGCUUGGUGGAGCAAAGCCCCAGGUGGGUCCUGGUACCUCGCGGACAGGCUGAAACACUGCGCUGCAUCCUGAGGAAUUCCCAGUACCCCUGGAUGAGCUGGUACCAACAGGAUC
Orcinus orca (killer whale) is the source of this 398-nucleotide long non-coding RNA. RefSeq lists it as uncharacterized. The transcript has 2 exons. NCBI's taxonomy places the organism in Eukaryota, Metazoa, Chordata, Mammalia, Artiodactyla, Delphinidae. The record is from RefSeq and is a predicted model, not a curated record.